This 369-nucleotide ribosomal RNA is filed under the name uncultured bacterium. RNAcentral's name for it is "bacterial SSU rRNA". It matches the Rfam family "Bacterial small subunit ribosomal RNA", at positions 527 to 896 of the family's 1533-position model. The record is from RNAcentral.
GGAGGGUGCGAGCGUUAUCCGGAAUUACUGGGUUUAAAGGGUGCGUAGGCGGCUAUGUAAGUCAGAUAGUGAAAGUUUGCGGCUCAACCGUAAAAUUGCUUUUGAUAUUGCAUGGCUAGAAUCAGGAUGAGGUCAGCGGAAUGUGGCAUGUAGCGGUGAAAUGCAUAGAUAUGCCAUAGAACACCAAUUGCGAAGGCAGCUGGCUAGACCUGUAUUGACGCUGAGGCACGAAAGCGUGGGGAUCGAACAGGAUUAGAUACCCUGGUAGUCCACGCCCUAAACGAUGCUCACUCGACGUAUGGCACUAGAUGUUGUGCGUCCAAGGGAAACCGUUAAGUGAGCCACCUGGGGAGUACGACCGCAANGGGG